RNAcentral lists this non-coding RNA (630 nucleotides) under Linnemannia elongata AG-77. Its description in RNAcentral is "Mortierella elongata AG-77 Eukaryotic large subunit ribosomal RNA". It matches the Rfam family "Eukaryotic large subunit ribosomal RNA", at positions 2794 to 3401 of the family's 3401-position model. The record is from Rfam by way of RNAcentral. Lineage: Eukaryota; Fungi; Mortierellomycota; Mortierellomycetes; Mortierellales; Mortierellaceae.
UUGAAAAUGGUGCAGGAAGAGUUCUAUAUAGGUUUAAUAGCUGGCUUGUGGCAGCCAAGCGUUCAUAGCGACGUUGCUUUUGAUCCUUCGAUGUCGGCUCUUCCUAUCAUACUGAAGCAGAAUUCAGUAAGCGUUGGAUUGUUCACCCACUAAUAGGGAAUGUGAGCUGGGUUUAGACCGUCGUGAGGCAGGUUAGUUUUACCCUAUUGAUGAAAUGUUGUUGCAAUAGUAAUUGAACUUAGUACGAGAGGAACCGUUCAUUCGGAUAAUUGUUACUUGGACCUGCCUGAGCUGGCAAUGGCCCGAAGCUAUUAUCCAUUGGGUUAUGGCUGAAUGCCCCCAAGUCCGAACCCGUGCUAGAACGCGAAGAUUACCGUCUUUCGAUUUUUUUUUUAGUUGAAUAUGAAUAGACCUUCGGCUCCAAGAUCAUACUACAUGGGGUUAUGUUUUAGGGCUGAAGGCAUUAUGAUGUUCCUGCUAAAACUUUAUUCACGAAUAUCCCUUCCUCCGUACUUUAAUUCGAGACAAUAUUGUGUCGAAAAAUUUUGUGUGCUGGGCUCAUGCACUUCCAUAUGAUAACUUGCAAAAAGGGAAGCUAACUUAGUUCAAGGUCCAUUUUUCAUCCACAAA